GUGAAAUUAUAGCACAAAGCGUAAGCUAAAGCGUGUAGGUUUAUAGCAAAAAGCCUCCCACGUUACAGUACUAGGCAAAAAUAUCGCCACACAUGCACCAAAGCGGGCGCCAUUCCAAUUUCAUGUAUGGACAAAUGAAUGUAGAGCACUACCAUAUAUGUACAAGAGAACGUAGUUUCUAAUCCUUGAAAAAGGUAAAAUAUAUUACCGAAACCGUCGGAUAUUGAAGC
This is a long non-coding RNA of Aedes aegypti (yellow fever mosquito), 230 nucleotides long. RefSeq lists it as uncharacterized. Lineage: Eukaryota; Metazoa; Arthropoda; Insecta; Diptera; Culicidae. The record is from RefSeq and is a predicted model, not a curated record. The transcript has 3 exons.